GCCGCGUGUAUGAAGAAGGCCUUCGGGUUGUAAAGUACUUUCAGCGGGGAGGAAGGGAGUAAAGUUAAUACCUUUGCUCAUUGACGUUACCCGCAAAAAAAGCACCGGCUAACUCCGUGCCAGCAGCCGCGGUAAUACGGAGGGUGCAAGCGUUAAUCGGAAUUACUGGGCGUAAAGCGCACGCAGGCGGUUUGUUAAGUCAAAUGUGAAAUCCCCGGGCUCAACCUGGGAACUGCAUCUGAUACUGGCAAGCUUGAGUCUCGUAAAGGGGGGUAGAAUUCCAGGUGUAGCGGUGAAAUGCGUAAAAAUCUGGAGGAAUACCGGUGGCGAAGGCGGCCCCCUGGACAAAGACUGACGCUCAGGUGCGAAAGCGUGGGGAGCAAACAGGAUUAAAUACCCUGGUAGUCCACGCCGUAAACGAUGUCGACUUGGAGGUUGUGCCCUUGAGGCGUGGCUUCCGGAGCUAACGCGUUAAGUCGACCGCCUGGGGAGUACGGCCGCAAGGUUAAAACUCAAAUGAAUUGACGGGGGCCC
Molecule: ribosomal RNA, 534 nt
Filed under: uncultured bacterium
Lineage: Bacteria
Description: bacterial SSU rRNA
Rfam family: Bacterial small subunit ribosomal RNA
Source: RNAcentral